RNAcentral lists this unclassified non-coding RNA (329 nucleotides) under soil metagenome. RNAcentral's name for it is "partial contains 5.8S ribosomal RNA, internal transcribed spacer 2, and large subunit ribosomal RNA". The stretch from base 1 to 120 matches the Rfam family "5.8S ribosomal RNA", at positions 35 to 154 of the family's 154-position model. The record is from RNAcentral.
GAUGAAGAACGUAGCGAAAUGCGAUAAGUAAUGUGAAUUGCAGAAUUCAGUGAAUCAUCGAAUCUUUGAACGCACAUUGCGCCCCUUGGUAUUCCGAGGGGCAUGCCUGUUCGAGCGUCAUUAUAACCCCUCAAGCUCAGCUUGGUGUUGGGGCCUGCUGCACUGGCAGCCCUUAAAAUCAGUGGCGGCGCCAUCUGGCUCUAAGCGUAGUAAUUCUUCUCGCUAUGGAGUCCUGGUGGAUGCUUGCCAUCAACCCCCAAUUUUUCUAUGGUUGACCUCGGAUCAGGUAGGGAUACCCUCUGAACUUAAGCAUAUCAAUAAGCGGAGGA